GGCAAGACGGAAAGACCCCGUGAACCUUUACUAUAGCUUGACACUGAACAUUGAGCCUUGAUGUGUAGGAUAGGUGGGAGGCUUUGAAGUGUGGACGCCAGUCUGCAUGGAGCCGGCCUUGAAAUACCACCCUUUAAUGUUUGAUGUUCUAACGUGGACCCGUGAUCCGGGUUGCGGACAGUGUCUGGUGGGUAGUUUGACUGGGGCGGUCUCCUCCUAAAGAGUAACGGAGGAGCACGAAGGUUGGCUAAUCCUGGUCGGACAUCAGGAGGUUAGUGCAAUGGCAUAAGCCAGCUUGACUGCGAGCGUGACGGCGCGAGCAGGUGCGAAAGCAGGUCAUAGUGAUCCGGUGGUUCUGAAUGGAAGGGCCAUCGCUCAACGGAUAAAAGGUACUCCGGGGAUAACAGGCUGAUACCGCCCAAGAGUUCAUAUCGACGGCGGUGUUUGGCACCUCGAUGUCGGCUCAUCACAUCCUGGGGCUGAAGUAGGUCCCAAGGGUAUGGCUGUUCGCCAUUUAAAGUGGUACGCGAGCUGGGUUUAGAACGUCGUGAGACAGUUCGGUCCCUAUCUGCCGUGGGCGCUGGAGAACUGAGGGGGGCUGCUCCUAGUACGAGAGGACCGGAGUGGACGCAUCACUGGUGUUCGGGUUGUCAUGCCAAUGGCACUGCCCGGUAGCUAAAUGCGGAAGAGAUAAGUGCUGAAAGCAUCUAAGCACGAAACUUGCCCCGAGAUGAGUUCUCCCUGACCCUUUAAGGGUCCUGAAGGAACGUUGAAGACGACGACGUUGAUAGGCCGGGUGUGUAAGCGCAGCGAUGCGUUGAGCUAACCGGUACUAAUGAACCGUGAGG
RNAcentral lists this ribosomal RNA (848 nucleotides) under Escherichia coli. RNAcentral describes it as "partial 23S ribosomal RNA". It matches the Rfam family "Bacterial large subunit ribosomal RNA", at positions 2074 to 2916 of the family's 2925-position model. Lineage: Bacteria; Pseudomonadati; Pseudomonadota; Gammaproteobacteria; Enterobacterales; Enterobacteriaceae. The record is from RNAcentral.